AGUGAACGCUGGCGGUAGGCCUAACACAUGCAAGUCGAACGGCAGCACAGUAAGAGCUUGCUCUUACGGGUGGCGAGUGGCGGACGGGUGAGAAAUACAUCGGAGUCUACUUUUUCGUGGGGGAUAACGUAGGGAAACUUACGCUAAUACCGCAUACGACCUACGGGUGAAAGCAGGGGAUCUUCGGACCUUGCGCGAUUGAAUGAGCCGAUGUCGGAUUAGCUAGUUGGCGGGGUAAAGGCCCACCAAGGCGACGAUCCGUAGCUGGUCUGAGAGGAUGAUCAGCCACACUGGAACUGAGACACGGUCCAGACUCCUACGGGAGGCAGCAGUGGGGAAUAUUGGACAAUGGGCGCAAGCCUGAUCCAGCCAUGCCGCGUGGGUGAAGAAGGCCUUCGGGUUGUAAAGCCCUUUUGUUGGGAAAGAAAAGCAGCAGGUUAAUACCCCGCUGUUCUGACGGUACCAAAAGAAUAAGCACCGGCUAACUUCGUG
This 492-nucleotide ribosomal RNA is filed under the name uncultured bacterium. RNAcentral describes it as "partial 16S ribosomal RNA". It matches the Rfam family "Bacterial small subunit ribosomal RNA", at positions 29 to 507 of the family's 1533-position model. The record is from RNAcentral.